This 387-nucleotide long non-coding RNA is filed under the name Nicotiana benthamiana. Its description in RNAcentral is "long non-coding RNA (NBEN_LNC037436)". The record is from RNAcentral. Lineage: Eukaryota; Viridiplantae; Streptophyta; Magnoliopsida; Solanales; Solanaceae.
AAGCAAAAGAGUGUAAUAACGAUUGCUAGUACUCCAUAUGAGAAUUUCUAUACGGAAAAAUAGAAGAGAUAGUAUCAUCAUAAAAUAAUGCAACGGGAUGGAAACUCAAGAGGUAUAUUUGAUAUCACAACAUUUAUUGAUAUACCUUAAAGGUAAGCAAUUUACUUUUUUCUUUCAAAUUCUUGAAAUUCUACGACUUGAUUUCAUAUACAAACAUAGACAACAAAGUUUGAUUAUAACUCUAAUGGAGUUUGUAAGGAAUUUUAACCACGUGAAGUGGUAAAAGUUCUAUAUCUUGCCAUGAUUAAAUUCAUGUAUGAUUGUGGGCAAAGAAUUGAAAAUCCGUCCCAUUGAAUUUGCUUCAUUCUCAUUCCCUUUAGAGAANNN